AUUCCUUGAAUGUCGUCUGGAGGAAAUGCUCUGUGGCUGAGUGAUUCAAAAAAAAAAAAAAAAAUCUGUUCUUAUCAGUUUAAUAUCUGAUACGUCCCCUAUCUGGGGACCAUAUAUUAAAUGGAUUUUUGGGACAGGGAGAUGGAAGAAGAGCUUGCUCUGUCCACUCCACGCAUUGACCUGGUAUUGCAGUACCUCCAGGACCGGUGCACCUCUC
Molecule: small nuclear RNA, 217 nt
Filed under: Pelobates cultripes (western spadefoot toad)
Lineage: Eukaryota; Metazoa; Chordata; Amphibia; Anura; Pelobatidae
Rfam family: U2 spliceosomal RNA (bases 25-217)
About the family: U2 is a small nuclear RNA (snRNA) component of the spliceosome (involved in pre-mRNA splicing). Complementary binding between U2 snRNA (in an area lying towards the 5' end but 3' to hairpin I) and the branchpoint sequence (BPS) of the intron results the bulging out of an unpaired adenosine, on the BPS, which initiates a nucleophilic attack at the intronic 5' splice site, thus starting the first of two transesterification reactions that mediate splicing.
Source: RNAcentral